This 254-nucleotide ribosomal RNA is filed under the name uncultured bacterium. RNAcentral describes it as "partial 16S ribosomal RNA". It matches the Rfam family "Bacterial small subunit ribosomal RNA", at positions 524 to 776 of the family's 1533-position model. The record is from RNAcentral.
UACGUAGGGUGCGAGCGUUGUCCGGAAUUAUUGGGCGUAAAGAGCUCGUAGGCGGUGUGUCGCGUCGGCCGUGAAAACCUGGGGCUCAACUCUGGGCGUGCGGUCGAUACGGGCAUCACUUGAGUUCGGCAGGGGAGACUGGAAUUCCUGGUGUAGCGGUGAAAUGCACAGAUAUCAGGAGGAACACCGGUGGCGAAGGCGGGUCUCUGGGCCGAUACUGACGCUGAGGAGCGAAAGCAUGGGUAGCGAACAGG